CACGUAGGGCGCAAGCGUUGUCCGGAAUUAUUGGGCGUAAAGAGCUCGUAGGCGGUCUGUUGCGUCCGCUGUGAAAACUCGAGGCUCAACCUCGAGACGUCGGUUGAAACCGUCUGGCUAGAGUCCGGAAGAGGAGAGUGGAAUUCCCGGUGUAGCGGUGAAAUGCGCAGAUAUCGGGAAGAACACCCGUGGCGAAGGCGGCUCUCUGGGACGGUACUGACGCUGAGACGCGAAAGCGUGGGGAGCGAACAGG
This 253-nucleotide ribosomal RNA is filed under the name uncultured bacterium. RNAcentral describes it as "partial 16S ribosomal RNA". It matches the Rfam family "Bacterial small subunit ribosomal RNA", at positions 524 to 776 of the family's 1533-position model. The record is from RNAcentral.